Molecule: ribosomal RNA, 460 nt
Filed under: uncultured bacterium
Lineage: Bacteria
Description: partial 16S ribosomal RNA
Rfam family: Bacterial small subunit ribosomal RNA
Source: RNAcentral
CCUACGGGAGGCAGCAGUGAGGAAUAUUGGUCAAUGGGAGGAAUCCUGAACCAGCCAUGCCGCGUGCAGGACGACGGCUCUACGGGUUGUAAACUGCUUUUAUACCGGAGUAAAGUGCUCUACGAGUGCGUUUUUGAAAGUACUUUACGAAUAAGGAUCGGCUAACUCCGUGCCAGCAGCCGCGGUAAUACGGAGGAUCCGAGCGUUAUCCGGAUUCAUUGGGUUUAAAGGGUGCGUAGUUUGGUUGAUAAGUUAGCGGUGAAAGACCGAGGCUCAACCGCGGGGCUGCAGCUGAUACUGUAGGACUAGAGAGCGGAUGCAGUAGGCGGAAUGUGUAGUGUAGCGGUGAAAUGCAUAGAUAUUACACAGAACACCGAUUGCGAAGGCAGCUUGCUAGGCUGGAUCUGACACUGAUGCACGAAAGCGUGGGGAUCGAACAGGAUUAGAUACCCCUGUAGUC